Molecule: non-coding RNA, 78 nt
Organism: Triticum urartu
Lineage: Eukaryota; Viridiplantae; Streptophyta; Magnoliopsida; Poales; Poaceae
Source: Rfam
GGAUGGAUGUCUAAGCAGUUGAAAGAGUCGGUCUUGAAAACCGAAGAAUCUAGUGGUUAUUGCAUCAAGCUCCAUCCA